CUGAAAUGUGGCAAAAGGUCGCAAAGUUCAAGGGGGCCGAAUACUUUCGCAAGGCACUAUACAUUUUUCAGUGCUUGAUGCAUUGGUAUCUUUACCCUAGAUUUAAUGCUCAAGCCUAAACUCAGCUGAGAGCCUACACAAAAACAAACGCAAGUCAAUCAUGAAGGGAAUAGGUAAGCUUGGAAAAGAAACACCUUUAAUAAACAUGUUAUGGAUCAUUUCCAAAUGUACUUGUCAACAUUUUAUGCAGUCAGAUGAAUGUGUGAACCGAUGGCCUCGGUAGAUACUUAAAAUACUAACAUACUGUAAAAUAAAAUAUAUACUCCCCAAAUGUUUGCCCUCAGAACAGCCUCAAUUCAUUGUGGCAUGGACUACAUUGUGUCAAGCAUUCCACAGGGAUGUUGGCCCAUGUUGACUCCAAUGCUUCCCACAGUUGUGUCAAGUUGGCUUUGGGUGGUAGACCAUUCUUGAUACACAUGGGUUUCUGUUGAGUGUGAAAAACCUCAGCAGUGUUGCAGUUCUUGACACAAACCGGUGUGCCUGGUACUUACUGAAAGGCACUUACAUAUUUUCUUUCCCAUUCACCCUCUGAAUGGCACACAAACGCAAUCAAUGUAUCAAGGAUUAAAAAUCCUGUCUCCUCCCCUUCAUCUACACUGAUUUAAUAAGUGACAUCAAUAAGGGAUCAUAGCUUUCACCUGGGCAGUCUGUCGCGGAAAGAGCAGGCAUUCUUAAUGUUUUGUACACAGUGUAUAUUUAUCACUUGGGGGGAAAAAAGUAUUUUGUAAACAUCAAAGAAAAUCCACCACUACACUUAUGGCAUUAACUAUCUUGGUUAGGAACAACACCAUGAUAAACCAUCUUUGGUAACACCCUUUGUAAACCAAACACAAGAUAGGCUGGUGUUGACAAUCCAUCUUCAGGUAUGAACAUUCACGUGGCUAUUGUAAACAAUUUAAGAGCUCUUGAUUCUGCAUCAGUACCGGAUACUUUGUCAUUGCCAGCCUAUAUUGCUCUCACAGGCUUUAGCGGAGAUUGGAAAAGAACGCG
This is a non-coding RNA of Oncorhynchus mykiss (rainbow trout), 1050 nucleotides long. The record is from RefSeq and is a predicted model, not a curated record. NCBI's taxonomy places the organism in Eukaryota, Metazoa, Chordata, Actinopteri, Salmoniformes, Salmonidae.